CUUAUUUCCUUAGCUGCCAUCCAUUACUGGCUACUUCGUCAACUGGAUAUCAAAAAUGCAUUUUUACAUGGCAAGGUAGCUGAGGAAGUUUAUAUAGAGCAACCACCAGGUUUGUUGCUCAGGGGGAGUCUGAUUUGGUGUGUUGCCUGCGGCGUUCUUUACAUGGCUUGAAACAAUCUCUGAGAGCAUGGUUUGGACAGUUCAAUACUGUAGUCCAACAAUU
Molecule: unclassified non-coding RNA, 223 nt
Filed under: Hevea brasiliensis (rubber tree)
Lineage: Eukaryota; Viridiplantae; Streptophyta; Magnoliopsida; Malpighiales; Euphorbiaceae
Source: RNAcentral